AUGGUAUACGAGAGCGCGAGGGUGCGUUGCAGCUUCGGGACAACCUCAUGGGUUCGCCUCUCCAGAGGGUACACGGAGGCCGGCCUGCUCUCGCAGGUCAUCGACGCCUUUGGGGGCGACACCAAGGGCGGCGAGAGCGUCGCCGACCUCCAGGCAAUGCUGACAGGCCUGGUGGCGAACAAGAGGUUCCUGCUCGUGGUCGAUGACGUGUGGUACGGCGGGGUGUGGGAGGACGUGCUGCAGAACCCACUGGGCCGCGGCGGCAAGGUGCUGGUCACAGCGCGGCGCGGCAGCACUGCCCGCGAGAUGGGCGCCAGCCUUGUCCACCGGGUGAAGAGACUCAGCACCGACGACGGCUGGCUGCUGCUCCGCACGGCGGCGUGCGUGGCUGACGACGAGAGCCAGCUGAAGAGCGUCGGCGAAAGGCUCGUCGAGAAGUGCGGCGGCAUCCCUCUGGCCAUCAAGGCGGUCGCCGGCGUGCUGAGGACACGGGAGGCCAGCGCCGACGUGUGGGGCGAGGUGCUCGCGAGCCCCGCGUGGUCGGUGAAGGGGCUGCCGGACGACGCCAUGAAGGCGCUGUACCUGUGCUACGAUGACCUGCCGCACCACCUGAAGCAAUGCUUCCUGUACUGCUCGCUGUUCCCCCCGGGCUUCGCCGUCGAGAGGCGGGUGCUCGUGCAGCACUGGAUGGCCGAGCGCUUGGUGCAGACCAGGAGCGGCGCCUCCGUCGAGGAGGUAGCCGAGGGGUACUACGAUGAGCUCGUUGGCAGGAACCUUCUCCAGACGACGCAGGAAGACGUGCGCGGAUGCACGAUGCACGAAGCGCUGCAUGCUCUGGCGCAGCUGCUCCUGCAAGGCGAGGGCUUCACCGGCGACGGCCACCGGCUGCCCGACGACGGCGACACCUCCUUCAGGCCACGGCGCGUCUCCCUUCCAGGAAGAAACAUGGCUACGAUACCAGAGAGCAUCCUGAAUUCGGAGAUGAUAAGGACGCUGCUGCUUCCCAGGAACCCACUGGCAACCGAAGGAAACAUCUUCACGAGGCUGCAUCAUCAACUGCGAGUCCUCGACCUGAGUGAAACAGGAAUUGAGCUCAUCCCAGAGACUCUGGGGAAUAUGGUUCACCUGAGGCUCCUCAACCUGUCCCGGACAGGGAUACAGGCGAUUCCAGAGUCCAUCAGCAACCUGUGGAGCCUGAAAUUCUUGCUGCUGAGGGAGUGCAAGUCACUGCAUGCUCUGCCCAAAGGCAUGAAGCACCUGAGGGGGCUCAGAGACCUUGAUCUUGCUGGAACAACGAUCGACAUUGCCGCGUUCAGGGUAGGCCAGCUGAGAAGCCUCACGUCGCUCCAGUGCUUCGCCGUGGCCAGCAAAGAGGACCGGGGUGGGUGGCCUCUGGCUGAGCUCAAGCACUUGUGCCAGCUGAGGAUACUCCAUGUGCAUAAGCUCCAGAGGGCUCCCGGUCGGUCUGAGGCGGCUGAAGUGGCACUUGCCAGCAAGAUGAGCCUCAGGGAGCUCGCGCUGUCAUCCAGCGACGACACUGUCAGUCUGCCGCACACACCAACGGCGGUCAGGAAGAUUGAGGAUGUGCUGGAAGAGCUCAACCCUCCACCGUGCCUCGAGUCGCUAAAGAUUGCUGGCUAUUUUGGAGCCAAGUUCCCCAGCUGGCUCUCAGACAUUUCCCUCCCAAAUCUUCGCCGCCUCGACAUCAUCGGGUGCAACUUGUGCCAGUCCCUCCCUCCACUAGGCCUGAUGCCAGAGCUGAGAUCGUUGAGCAUUGUCGAUUCUUCAGCUCUCACGUCAAUCGAUGCAGAGUUCAUGGGCAAAUGCCACCACCCUGAGGUACCUUUUCCAAAGCUCGAGAACCUGCGCUUGCAAGGAUUACCUAAGCUUGAAACAUGGAUGGAUAUCGAGGCAGGAACGUUGCCCUCUUUGCAGGCGAUGCAACUCGAGAGCUGCCCUGAGCUGCGACGCCUGCCUGGCGGCCUCAGACACGUGACAUCCUUGGUGGAGCUGCGCAUAGUGGACAUGGCGAGUCUCGAGGCUGUGGAGGACAUUAUUGCACUGAGAGAAUUGAGCGUUUGGAACGCACCUGAUCUGAAGAAGUUAUCAGACAUGCCUUCCCUUGAAGACCUUAGCAUAUCCCACUGCCCAGUGUUGCAGACUCUGGAGAACGUCGACAGCCUGCGAGCAGUGCACAUAUUUGAUCAUCAGUUGCAGGAGAUCCCAAGAUGGAUCGAGGCACGUGCGGCAAAGCUGCGCUCGCUGGAUGUCACAAGCACGAUCAAACUGCUCAAGAGGUGCCUGGUGGAUGGCCCAGACUGGCCCCUGAUCAAGGACAUUGUACAGGUACACGGGUCGACGACUGGUUCCGGUGAUUACAUAUACUAUUCCAAGAGCCCUUACAUCUUCGAUAGCAAUGUGAAUGCUCAAGGAAACGUUGAAACUGCUGCUUCUGAUAGUGCUGACGAGGCGUCGGCAGAAAACAGAAAUGCCAAUCAAGAUGUUGGGGUUACAGCUUCAGGUACUGGUUAUAUGCACAUCAGUGGCUUCUUCGACUCAAAAGCAGUGAAAAAAGGAGCUCCCAUGGCUGAAGGAAAUGUGACCCAUAGGAACACAGAAAGGAGAAAUAGCCAACGUCGCAUGCAUAAGCUGGCAGAAGUUAUUCCUGAGGAGGGUGAAGCUGAGGAAGAUGCAGAUUCAGUUGUGCUCUUUCCUGAUCAUCGAGCUAAAUCACAUUCACGAGUGGAGAAACAGCGUCCUGUUGUUAAAGAUGAUCGUAGUGGCAAUAACGAUACAGGCUUGCUGUCAAAAGUUACCCCUCAAGAAACUGGUCCUGAUGCAACUAGGCGAAGAAGGUCAAAGAUGGGAGAGGAUGUUCAUACUGAUGCUGGCGCUGCUGGGGAUUCUUCUGUUAGCAAAUCUGCUGCUGCAGUUGGUCAUAACUUGGUCCGUGAAGGAUCUCGAGUAAUCAACUGUACUGAAACUGAUCAAAAUUCAAACAUCAGUGUACGUCAAAGCAAGGAAUGCACAUUGAAUAAAGGAGAGGACUUUGCUAACAUCAGUAAACAGACCAGGAGGGUUCAUGACACUGCAAGUAAGGUGCCAACACAAGUAGUUGGCAGUGACUCUAAAGUAUUUGGUAAUGAUAAACCUGAAAAUAGUUCACCUGCUAUCAUGGCUCGCUCCAGGCAAGUAACAUUCAACAUAAGAGAAGACGAUCAUGCUGACGCCGAUGUACAUUCACCGAACACAAUUAAUCAGAAGAAUGUCGGCAAGGUAAAAGUGACAACAACUUCUGCAAGUGCAAGCACAAAUGCGACAACAAUGCCAGAAAUUCCAGCAGACAGAGAAGUGGCACCAAAAUCUGUUGGCACUAUUGAUAGCAGUUUAAUCCUUGAAGUUCAUCACACAGUAAGUAUUACUAAAGAUUCUACUUGUACUGGUGUUGAUAACACUGGUGGUCAUAUGGAGGACAGGAGCAUCAGUUUGCCAGCCAAUCCAAAUCAUGAAGAAUCUAAAGCAUGCAUCGCUACUGAAACCACGUGCGAUUCAGAGCCUUGCAUGUUGCCUGCAAGUUUAGCCUGGCGCAAGCAACGGGGACUGAAGAAGCAAGAAGCCAGUUUCGCAGGUGCAGGCGGUGGCAUAGGCGCAUCCAUCAAGAAAAUUCCUCGCAUGACAAACAAAACCUCGGAGAAAGUUACCUACAAAAGCAAGGCUGGGCCAAUGGAACAUCCAUCUACUGGAGCAUCCAAGAACACCGAUCCACAUUCGAACCCCGCGUGCACACCGUAUUGUGCCAUUGGUACAACUGAAGCAACCAUGGCAUACAGACACCACACCAGCAGCUACGCUGACAACGACAAUGCUCAUUUCUCCAUCGACAUCAAGGCCGACGACUCGCAUCAGGCACCAAAGGUGUACACCGCCAUUUGGGCCGACACCGACACGGACACCCUGCGAGCUCGGUUCCUCAGCUCGAUGCAGCACCACCACAGGAUGGCCUCCCGCCGUCGCCAUCGCCACCGUAGGGCGAAGCACGGCUCUGGGAACACGUGGAGCAUCAGCCCGGUUUUGGUGGUCGUCCUCCUUGUCGUCUCUGUGGCGCAGCUUCUGUUCAUCAUCUGGAUGUACCGCAGGCUCCUGAACCAAAAGUAG
RNAcentral lists this ribosomal RNA (4155 nucleotides) under Triticum aestivum (bread wheat). RNAcentral's name for it is "partial small subunit ribosomal RNA". The record is from RNAcentral. Lineage: Eukaryota; Viridiplantae; Streptophyta; Magnoliopsida; Poales; Poaceae.